Molecule: long non-coding RNA, 671 nt
Filed under: Nicotiana benthamiana
Lineage: Eukaryota; Viridiplantae; Streptophyta; Magnoliopsida; Solanales; Solanaceae
Description: long non-coding RNA (NBEN_LNC029656)
Source: RNAcentral
UUAAAUACAUUAAAGACAUUCACCUUAAAUAGAAGUGUAAGAAUCUUCUAUUUAUAACAGUACAGAAGUUUUUAUGUUUUUUUUAAGAAUUCAGACAAUUGGAUCUGAAUUCUGAAGAGUUUAAUAAGUAUAUACGUCAAUGAAGUAUCUAGUCCAUUUAGUUCCUAUCAUUUCUUUGGUUUCAAUUUCAAAUUUUGGUUCUUAAUCUAUUUUCUCAUUCUCUGAGAAUUUUAUGUACUACUGUUUCAUCUUUAAUGUCUUAAUGAAUACACCAAAUUUUGAUUUUGACCUUCGGAUUUUCUUUCAUUUAUUCAUAUUUUGAUCUUUCUCCUUAUUUUAAUAUAUAUAUAUCAAGUUGAGAGCUAUAAUUGAUUAUAAUUGAAUUGAAUGUCACUGUAGAUCAUCUCUGGUUCUCUACAAUUAUUAGGCUAAAGUAAUAAGUUGUGAUAUAAAAAAGAAAAAGGUAAUGUUACUUUUGUUAGAAGGAAGGAAGAUUUGUGACAUGGUGAGCAUUUAUGCUAAAGUUUAUUUAUAUAUAUUUUUUAAUUUUUGGAUUAUUACUGCUUUUUAUUUUUAAUAUCAAUUAUUAGGCUAAAGUAAUAAGUUGUGAUAUAAAAAAGAAAAAGGUAAUGUUACUUUUGUUAGAAGGAAGGAAGAUUUGUGACAUGGUG